UUCCUGAAAGCCGUGUUGGUUUUGAUCUUUUAAAUCGAAGAAUGAAGAUAUUUUCUCUGGAUA
Molecule: transfer RNA, 63 nt
Filed under: Eomenopon denticulatum
Lineage: Eukaryota; Metazoa; Arthropoda; Insecta; Psocodea; Menoponidae
Description: tRNA-Lys
Source: RNAcentral